This is a non-coding RNA of Mobula hypostoma (lesser devil ray), 1796 nucleotides long. Lineage: Eukaryota; Metazoa; Chordata; Chondrichthyes; Myliobatiformes; Myliobatidae. The record is from the annotation of a RefSeq genome assembly.
CACAGCUCCAUUCUGAGGAGGUCGGGAUAGAAUCAUCUGCCUUCCUCUUGGAUCUAAGCCUUGGCUGUGGGAAUUGAAACGGAUCCGGUUGAGUCCACUGUCCCAGCUCACCCCGGAACCCCAGAAGCCCUCAGCUAUUCUCGCCAGUGGCGGCGAUCAGAAGAUGUGGUGGCUCUUGAUACUGCCCGUUAUUCAAACAGGCUUCGUUCUGGCUGACGACACUCUGUACAUAUCCCCGAUAUCCACGAGCCGUCGCGAAAAUGAAACUGUGACGUUGGAUUGCUUCACUUCCAGGAAUCUAGAUGACCAUUUCUUCUUCUGGGGGUCCGCGAAGCCCACGGACCAGUUGAUCUCGUGGAUCCUGUUCUGGACUCCGGGUUUCACGGCGCCGGUGUACUCGGAACCGAGAUCUGACAGGUUCAUUGGUUCCAAAGACUGGACGAGCAAGAAGUUCUCCCUCACUAUUCAGGAUCUACAGCGGGAGGAUUCCGCCAGAUAUUACUGUGGAACCUCCAACUCCUACUUUUCCUUCAGCACCGACUGGAGCGGGUGCGGAGUUACCCUUACUGUAGACGCCGCCCCUCCCCAGUCCCCUCCAGAGGUCUACCUGAAUCAUCCGAGUCCCAAUGAUGUUCUCGAGCAUCAGGAAAUAACUUUGCUCUGCGUGGCCGAGGACUUCUACCCCGAGCCCAUCUCUAUUUCCUGGUGGCUAGAUGGAGAGGAGGUGGACGCGGGGGUUUCACAUUCAGUUUCCCUGCUGGGGCCCAACGCAACCUACACCAAGAUCAGCAAGCUGACGACCAGCACAUCCCAGUGGAUCAAGGGCUCCGUCUACGCCUGUCGCGUUUCUCAUGACACUCUCCCCUCACCCAUCUCCAAACAAGUCAGCAGUGCCGGACAAUACCCGAUGGUGCCCAGGAUUCAUCUUUUACCACCGACCCUUGAAGAAAUGGACAUUAUGGAGCAGGCUACCAUCACCUGCCAGGCAGCGGGCUACUACCCCACUGAAAUCUCCUUCCGCUGGUUUGUUGAUGGCAAUCCGGUGCUCACAGACAUCAAAAACUAUGCAUCCAUUCUGAAUGACAACGGUACCUAUAGCUCCCAGAGCGAACUGGUGACGUCUACAGAGAACUGGAACCAGGGCUCGGUGUACUCAUGCAGAGUUCAACACAUUUCACUGCCGAGUGGGAUGAUCCAAAGCAUUAAGAGGAAGGACACAGAAGAGCAGAAUCGGCGGAGGCCAACAAUCUCCUCCUUCAAAGUGGAGUCGGAGCAGACAGUGACACUCGUCUGCUACGUGUCUGGCUUCUUCCCGGCCGAUAUCUACGUGAGCUGGAGGACGGACCGCGGUGUGCCGGAGAGGAGCGGCGUCACCAACUUCCCGGUGGUGUCGGACUCGAGCGGGACCUACAGCACGGCGAGUCAGAUAACCAUACCCUUGUCGAAUGUGAGCCGUUCGCGAACGUACGUCUGCGUGGUGGGACACGAGUCCCUCUCCUAUCCCGGAGAGAAGCGGUUCCAUCUGGCCUGAGGAUCCCAAGGGCAGAUUUUCCAAUUGCCUGGAAUUCCCGCCGGUCUGAACUGACCCAACUGGAGUGAUAUUUGUACUUGCUUCCAGAAGUUACCCUUCCAGUCCUGAUCGAGAAGUAAUAAACACAGUUAUCCCUCUUUGAUCUACCAAUAUUCUGUUAAUUAAAAGCAGGCACGUAUGCUUAUUGAACUGUUGGCCUUCUGAAUAAAAAACCCCAAAGUGACCUUCCAGAUCCUGCAAGCUUCAAAUAAAUCAAUAACACUUU